AUGGUGCCCCCCACAGCUCCCACGUACCGCCUGCGCAAGCGGCGGGUGGCGAGGGAGCGCGGGGCCCUGCCCCAGGGGUGCCGGCUGGGGGCUGUGGGUGCUGGCGAGGCCGUGCUGCAGCGUGGGGACCUGCUGGAUGCUGACCGGGGUGGUGAGGUGCUCCUGGCCCGCAGGUCGCUGGACAGAAAGCUGCAGAGACCGCUCCUGGGGAAGUCCCGGACGCUGCCCAGCAUCCCGCAGUCCCCGGUCCUGAGCAGGCUUCCCCUCCUUGACUCCACGGCAUAUAGGGAGGAGAUGCCGGAGCAGAAGUCCUACAAGAAGCACUCGGCCUCUGAUGGCCAGAAGGGCUGCACGGUCCCAUCUGCCGGUGAGUGCCAGGGAGAGCUUUGUGCCCGUUCUGCCUGGGGGCCAGCAAAAUCUUACCCAACGUGUCCUUGUUCUGCAGGGGUGCGAACAGCAAGGUAAAUCCAAUCCCUGUCUGUAGGGGGUUUAUGCUGCCUCAAAAACAAAUGUUCUUGGUGAGAUUUAUUUUUUUUUUUUAUCCACUUCUGAGGCUUUCUUUGAGCCUGUUAUUUAAACCUUCCCACCUUUUAUUACACCGAUGAAAAAGCCGCAUGGGGCUGCAAGAGCCCUUGGCUCGGAGGUGAUGCUCGGAGCAUCAGAGCUGGGUCUCCUGGCCACAUGUGAACUGCUGCUCCGGGUUCCUCCGGCCUCCCCAACAGACCCAGGUGCCUUCCUUCUGCAGCAUCAAGUGGCUUCAGGGUGCCCGUUGCUGUCCCCAUGGGGAGCAGAGGCUGGGUGGCACCGCGUGGCUGUGCCGUUGUCCUGGCCCGCAGUGGGGGUUUGCUGUGGCAGAUGCUCCCAGCCUGGGAGCGUGUGUUGGCCUUCGUGUCAACAGAGGAUUUUUUACUGUGUUCUGCUCUUGUGCUGAUCCUGAUGAAAUACUAAUAUGGUUGGACCAGCUGCUCUGAGCAAGUUUAUUGGCAAAACUGUUGAUGGGCAAAGUGUUUCACGCUUCUGGUGCCAGCAGAAUCACGCUGGGGCCAUAAGAACGAUGGGGAAAGCGAUUAGCACUGAAACAGAGAUAAGGCUCGCCAGCCAGGGCUGACAAUCCAGUGCAAAAUAAAACCCUUAUAAAAUAGCUCCCGUCUACCA
This 1155-nucleotide long non-coding RNA is filed under the name Anas platyrhynchos platyrhynchos (common mallard). RNAcentral's name for it is "lncRNA (ENSAPLG00000020998.1)". Lineage: Eukaryota; Metazoa; Chordata; Aves; Anseriformes; Anatidae. The record is from RNAcentral.